Pelobates cultripes (western spadefoot toad) is the source of this 256-nucleotide non-coding RNA. NCBI's taxonomy places the organism in Eukaryota, Metazoa, Chordata, Amphibia, Anura, Pelobatidae. The record is from the annotation of a GenBank genome assembly.
CCAUCAUGUAUUUCUUAUCCCAUUAUGUUAAAACCACCACCCUGGCCCCUUCUUCCCUCCCUAAAUAUAGUAAAAUAUUACUUGUAUUCAAUUCUGCAGCUGCUGGCUCGGAAGUGGUGGUCUGAGCAAAUUACAAUACUUCCCCAUAGGAUUCGCUGAGACUGUCAACUAGGCAGAUCAGGGGCAGAGCCAGCACAAGUCCAACAUAGCCCUGGCCAAUCAGCAUCUCCUCAUAAAGAUAAAUUGAAUCAUUGCA